UGAACGCUGGCGGCAGGCCUAACACAUGCAAGUCGAACGGUAACAGGAAGAAGCUUGCUUCUUUGCUGACGAGUGGCGGACGGGUGAGUAAUGUCUGGGAAACUGCCUGAUGGAGGGGGAUAACUACUGGAAACGGUAGCUAAUACCGCAUAACGUCGCAAGACCAAAGAGGGGGACCUUCGGGCCUCUUGCCAUCGGAUGUGCCCAGAUGGGAUUAGCUAGUAGGUGGGGUAACGGCUCACCUAGGCGACGAUCCCUAGCUGGUCUGAGAGGAUGACCAGCCACACUGGAACUGAGACACGGUCCAGACUCCUACGGGAGGCAGCAGUGGGGAAUAUUGCACAAUGGGCGCAAGCCUGAUGCAGCCAUGCCGCGUGUAUGAAGAAGGCCUUCGGGUUGUAAAGUACUUUCAGCGGGGAGGAAGGGAGUAAAGUUAAUACCUUUACUCAUUGACGUUACCCGCAGAAGAAGCACCGGCUAACUCCGUG
RNAcentral lists this ribosomal RNA (488 nucleotides) under uncultured bacterium. RNAcentral describes it as "partial 16S ribosomal RNA". It matches the Rfam family "Bacterial small subunit ribosomal RNA", at positions 30 to 507 of the family's 1533-position model. The record is from RNAcentral.